UCCGAGUUGUCCCCGGCAGUCCCUCUAGAGUCCCCGGCAUUACCCGCUGGCAAUUAAAGGCAGGGGUUGCGCUCGUUGCGGCACUUAACCCAACAUCUCACGACACGAGCUGACGACAACCAUGCACCACCUGUGCACGACCCUAAAAGGACCUGCCAUCUCUGACAGAUUUCCGUGCAUGUCAAGCCUAGGUAAGGUUCUUCGCGUUGCAUCGAAUUAAGCAACAUGCUCCGCCGCUUGUGCGGGCCCCCGUCAAUUCCUUUGAGUUUUAGCCUUGCGGCCGUACUCCCCAGGCGGGGCGCUUAAUGCGUUAGCUGCGGCACGGAGACCGUGGAAUGGACCCCACACCUAGCGCCCAACGUUUACGGUGUGGACUA
Molecule: unclassified non-coding RNA, 377 nt
Filed under: uncultured Geodermatophilaceae bacterium
Lineage: Bacteria; Bacillati; Actinomycetota; Actinomycetes; Geodermatophilales; Geodermatophilaceae
Description: contains 16S-23S intergenic spacer region
Source: RNAcentral